AGAGUUCGAUUAUGGCUCAGGAUGAACGCUAGCUACAGGCUUAACACAUGCAAGUCGAGGGGCAGCAUGACCUAGCAAUAGGUUGAUGGCGACCGGCGCACGGGUGAGUAACACGUAUCCAACCUACCGGUUAUUCCGGGAUAGCCUUUCGAAAGAAAGAUUAAUACCGGAUAGUAUAACGAGAAGGCAUCUUCUUGUUAUUAAAGAAUUUCGAUAACCGAUGGGGAUGCGUUCCAUUAGUUUGUUGGCGGGGUAACGGCCCACCAAGACAUCGAUGGAUAGGGGUUCUGAGAGGAAGGUCCCCCACAUUGGAACUGAGACACGGUCCAA
RNAcentral lists this ribosomal RNA (330 nucleotides) under uncultured bacterium. Its description in RNAcentral is "bacterial SSU rRNA". It matches the Rfam family "Bacterial small subunit ribosomal RNA", at positions 8 to 334 of the family's 1533-position model. The record is from RNAcentral.